GCUACCAUGCAGUCGAGCGGUAGCACAGAGAGCUUGCUCUCGGGUGACGAGCGGCGGACGGGUGAGUAAUGUCUGGGAAACUGCCUGAUGGAGGGGGAUAACUACUGGAAACGGUAGCUAAUACCGCAUAAUGUCGCAAGACCAAAGUGGGGGACCUUCGGGCCUCAUGCCAUCAGAUGUGCCCAGAUGGGAUUAGCUAGUAGGUGGGGUAACGGCUCACCUAGGCGACGAUCCCUAGCUGGUCUGAGAGGAUGACCAGCCACACUGGAACUGAGACACGGUCCAGACUCCUACGGGAGGCAGCAGUGGGGAAUAUUGCACAAUGGGCGCAAGCCUGAUGCAGCCAUGCCGCGUGUGUGAAGAAGGCCUUCGGGUUGUAAAGCACUUUCAGCGGGGAGGAAGGCGGUGAGGUUAAUAACCUUGUCGAUUGACGUUACCCGCAGAAGAAGCACCGGCUAACUCCGUGCCAGCAGCCGCGGUAAUACGGAGGGUGCAAGCGUUAAUCGGAAUUACUGGGCGUAAAGCGCACGCAGGCGGUCUGUCAAGUCGGAUGUGAAAUCCCCGGGCUCAACCUGGGAACUGCAUUCGAAACUGGCAGGCUAGAGUCUUGUAGAGGGGGGGUAGAAUUCCAGGUGUAGCGGUGAAAUGCGUAGAGAUCUGGAGGAAUACCGGUGGCGAAGGCGGCCCCCUGGACAAAGACUGACGCUCAGGUGCGAAAGCGUGGGGAGCAAACAGGAUUAGAUACCCUGGUAGUCCACGCCGUAAACGAUGUCGAUUUGGAGGUUGUGCCCUUGAGGCGUGGCUUCCGGAGCUAACGCGUUAAAUCGACCGCCUGGGGAGUACGGCCGCAAGGUUAAAACUCAAAUGAAUUGACGGGGGCCCGCACAAGCGGUGGAGCAUGUGGUUUAAUUCGAUGCAACGCGAAGAACCUUACCUGGUCUUGACAUCCACAGAACUUUCCAGAGAUGGAUUGGUGCCUUCGGGAACUGUGAGACAGGUGCUGCAUGGCUGUCGUCAGCUCGUGUUGUGAAAUGUUGGGUUAAGUCCCGCAACGAGCGCAACCCUUAUCCUUUGUUGCCAGCGGUUCGGCCGGGAACUCAAAGGAGACUGCCAGUGAUAAACUGGAGGAAGGUGGGGAUGACGUCAAGUCAUCAUGGCCCUUACGACCAGGGCUACACACGUGCUACAAUGGCAUAUACAAAGAGAAGCGACCUCGCGAGAGCAAGCGGACCUCAUAAAGUAUGUCGUAGUCCGGAUUGGAGUCUGCAACUCGACUCCAUGAAGUCGGAAUCGCUAGUAAUCGUAGAUCAGAAUGCUACGGUGAAUACGUUCCCGGGCCUUGUACACACCGCCCGUCACACCAUGGGAGUGGGUUGCAAAAGAAGUAGGUAGCUUAACCUUCGGGAGGGCGCUACCACUA
Molecule: ribosomal RNA, 1420 nt
Filed under: Klebsiella sp. NCCP-138
Lineage: Bacteria; Pseudomonadati; Pseudomonadota; Gammaproteobacteria; Enterobacterales; Enterobacteriaceae
Description: bacterial SSU rRNA
Rfam family: Bacterial small subunit ribosomal RNA
Source: RNAcentral